UUUUUAUUUUUUAUUUAUUUAAUCUCUUCUAAAAGGUAAUUCCAAAACCACAUGAUAUACAUUGCCAAAAAGCGCAAAUAAAAUUACACAUAAUAAUAAAUCUUACGUAAAUUUAUGGUUAUUGUCAAACAAACACAGACUAAAAAAAGAAAGGGUUUUCUUAGCAUAUGAAAAAAAGCUAUUAUACGUUAUUGAUAGCACCAAUAUGUCUGUCCCUGCUAUAAUAGGUCUUUCUCCUGUUAUAGCUAUUAUUACUGCUGAUUCGUGACGCCACCACCACCGACUUGUCACACCGGCCACCUUCUCAGAUCUGGAAACAAAAAUAAACAUUAAUCAAUCUAAAAACAUAUAUAGUAGAAGAGAAGAAACAAAAAAAAAACAUUAACUCUCACCAUCACAAACACAUCAGAUCCAUGAGCCGGCAUAUAAAAGGAGAAAGAAAUGAAAAAAAAAUGGAGAUUUGGGAAGAAUCUCCCUCCUCUCUGUUAGGCUAGAUUGACGGCGAGCUUCUUGAGAAGAUGGUGUGACGGCGAGC
RNAcentral lists this long non-coding RNA (535 nucleotides) under Brassica napus (rape). RNAcentral's name for it is "long non-coding RNA (BNAP_LNC014657)". Lineage: Eukaryota; Viridiplantae; Streptophyta; Magnoliopsida; Brassicales; Brassicaceae. The record is from RNAcentral.